AAUGGCCUAAGGGCUGAACCAGCAACUUGGAGGAAUGUAUAGCGAUAGCUAAUUGUAUAUUAUUAUACAAUAUCAACUACGUUGAAUAAAAUUCUGGGUGUGAUUAUGAUAAUGACAUUGCACAUUUAUAUGUCUUGACCAAAUUACGUGCCAGCAGUCGCGGUAACACGUCAAAGACUAGUGUUAUUCAUCUUUAAUUGGUUUAAAGGGUACUUAGACGGCAAAUCAAGCCUUAGGCGGGACUAAUUUGCUAGAGUUAAAUGUGAGGGGRCUUGAAAGUACUAUUGGUCUAGAGAUAAAAUUUUUUGAGACCUAAGAUGGCACAGGUAAAGGCGAAAGCAUCUCCCUAUGUAAUAACUGACGUUGAAAGACGAAGGCUUUGAAUAGCGAAUAGGAUUAGAUACCCUAGUAGUCGAAGGAGAGAAUGAUGAGUGUCAUAGACUAGACAAAUAUUAGUACAAACAAGCUAAAUAUUUGCAAAAACUAACGAGUUUAGUCUAUAAAUGAAAGUGUAAGCACUCCACCUUAAGAGUAAUGUGGCAACACCGAAAUUGAAAUCAUUAGGCCGUUUCUGAAACCAGUAGUGAAGUAUGUUGUUUAAUUUGAUGAUCCGCAAAAAACCUUACCACAACUUGAAUAUUUAUAUCACUUGUAUUGUAGUAUUAUAAUGAAAAAAAAACAAUACAAUAUAUAUUUACAAGCGUUGCACGGCUGUCUUCAGUUAAUGUCGUGAGAUUUGGUUAGAUCCAUUAAAUUAACGCAAACCCUUGCUUUAUUUUUAAAUAAUGCUGUUCGUCCACUACAAUGGAUAUGAUAAAAGGACUAAGACAAGUCAUCAUGGCCUAAAUGUUGU
This 853-nucleotide ribosomal RNA is filed under the name Physcidia sp. RNAcentral's name for it is "SSU rRNA". It matches the Rfam family "Bacterial small subunit ribosomal RNA", at positions 370 to 1210 of the family's 1533-position model. Lineage: Eukaryota; Fungi; Ascomycota; Lecanoromycetes; Lecanorales; Ramalinaceae. The record is from RNAcentral.